Molecule: long non-coding RNA, 1147 nt
Filed under: Populus trichocarpa (black cottonwood)
Lineage: Eukaryota; Viridiplantae; Streptophyta; Magnoliopsida; Malpighiales; Salicaceae
Description: long non-coding RNA (PTRI_LNC003472)
Source: RNAcentral
AACACUUUAAUCACCAACUUAUUCAUCUCCUUCAAGCAUUUUAUCAAACACCUUCUACGCAAUGUCAUCAUCCCCUCCCACAUCAUGAUUUCACAUAACCAAGCUUCCUAAACAAAUCAACAACAAUUUACACAUCACAAGCUACUUUAAUAACAACAUAAUCAAACACAAACAGGCAAAUCACCAUCACAUCACACAAAAAUCAACUCAAAAACAUCAUUACAUCAAAUCAUGCUCAAAUUUGAAACUUGCACAUUCAUGGCCGGCAACACAUGGUCGGCCUCAAAUUCUUUCAUUUAUCUACUAAUUACAUUAUUUCAAACACAAAAUUCUUAAUUUUACAUAACUUAGGGAGAAAUCAAUAACGCAACAAACACGUGAAGUUAAGGAGAGUAAACAUUCCAACACUUCCAUAUAACUCUAAUUUAAAGGAAUUUUGGUGUGGGAAUCAAAGAAUCCAAGAACCCACCUUUCCUUCUAUCCAAAUUAUAAUUUUCCAAACCAUAGCCAGAGCACUACAACCUCUCACUCUCCUCCCCUUUUCCACAAGCUUUGAUUGUGUUUUUUAUAUCGAUCCUCACUCUCAUUCACCCUUAGAAACCAAUUUGGAGGGUAAAAAGAAGAAUGAGAAAGCUCUGCUCUCACCCUCUCUUUUGCUCCUAGGCCACUGUCCUUAAUUGGCUUUAUAGCUGAUACUUAAAUGUUUUCCAUUAAACCAUCAAUCGUUAGUAUUUUCUUCGUGUUACAUAUUUAUUCACGUACUCAGGGUUUAUACUACUAAAAAUGGGGUUGACAAUAAAUUUUACCAAUUUGCUCCUAAUUCUUGUCACUCAUGCUUAUUUUCAUCAAGUCUUCGGCCAUAAUUAUUUUUCGUAUAUAGUUUUAUUAUUAUUAUUUCUGGUCGGGAUUUUCCACUAAUUAACUAUGAUCUUACAUUAUUAAAUCUUGGGGUGCACUUGUAGCUGGUAGGAGAAUCCUAAAAGCAACGGUUUCCAACUGAAAUCUCUUUACAUCAUGUAUGUUGGCAUUGUGGAAAGUAACUUUCUUGUGGUGAGCUGAAUGGUUUCACAUCCCAAUUACACAACUGUUCAUGAUAAAUGUUCUCUCUUUGUAAGCUGUGGUGGCCUAGGUAGCUGACAGUGAUGGA